CUUCUGGAGAGACGGCGGAGGGUUAGUCAGCGUGGGAAGUGCCAGAUUUAAGAUAGCCACCGGAUCGGUGAGUAAAACUUAUAGCCCCUCGGGGGAUUGACCAUCGAUCGGAUCGGCCGCGUUAGAUUAGGUAGUUGGUGGGGUAACGGCCUACCAAGCCUACGAUCUAUAGCUGGUUUUAGAGGAUGAUCAGCACACUGGGACUGAGACACGGCCCAGACUCCUACGGGAGGCAGCAGUGGGGAAUCUUAGACAAUGGGCGAAAGCCUGAUCUAGCCAUGCCGCGUGUGUGAUGAAGGCCCUAGGGUCGUAAAGCACUUUCGCCAGGGAUGAUAAUGACAGUACCUGGUAAAGAAACCCCGGCUAACUCCGUGCCAGCAGCCGCGGUAAUACGGAGGGGGUUAGCGUUUGUUCGGAAUUACUGGGGCGUAAAAGCGCACGUAGGCGGAAUCAGAAAAGUAGGGGGUGAAAUCCCAGGGCUCAACCCUUGGAAACUUGCCUCCUAAACUCCUGGGUCUAGAGUUCGAGAGAGGUGAGUGGAAUUUCCGAAGUGUAGAGGUGAAAUUCGUAGAUAUUCGGAGGAACACCAGUGGCGAAAGCGGCUCACUGGCUCGAUACUGACGCUGAGGUGCGAAAGUGUGGGAGCAAACAGAUUAGAUACCCUGUAGUCACACGUAACGAUGAAUGCCAGUCGUCGGGCAGUAUACUUGUUCGGUGACACACCUAACGGAAUAAAGCAUUCCGCCU
Molecule: ribosomal RNA, 747 nt
Filed under: uncultured bacterium
Lineage: Bacteria
Description: bacterial SSU rRNA
Rfam family: Bacterial small subunit ribosomal RNA
Source: RNAcentral